RNAcentral lists this ribosomal RNA (507 nucleotides) under uncultured bacterium. RNAcentral describes it as "partial 16S ribosomal RNA". The record is from RNAcentral.
GGAGUUAGCCGGUGCUUCUUCUGUGAGUGAUGUCCUUCCUGCCGGCUAUUAACCCGCAGGCCUUCUUCCUCACUGAAAGUGCUUUACAACCCGAAGGCCUUCUUCACACACGCGGCAUGGCUGGAUCAGGGUUGCCCCCAUUGUCCAAUAUUCCCCACUGCUGCCUCCCGUAGGAGUCUGGGCCGUGUCUCAGUCCCAGUGUGGCUGAUCAUCCUCUCAGACCAGCUACGGAUCGUCGCCUUGGUGAGCCGUUACCUCACCAACCAGCUAAUCCGACAUAGGCUCAUCCGAUAGCGCGAGGCCCGAAGGUCCCCCGCUUUCCCCCGUAGGGCGUAUGCGGUAUUAGCCUGGGUUUCCCCAGGUUAUCCCCCACUACCGGGCAGAUUCCUAUGCAUUACUCACCCGUCCGCCGCUCGCCACCAGGGAGCAAGCUCCCCGUGCUGCCGCUCGACUUGCAUGUGUAGCUCGCCGCCACGCGUCAUCUGAGCCAGAAUACAAACUACUCGA